GACGAACGCUGGCGGCGUGCUUAACACAUGCAAGUCGAACGAUGAAGCCGGAGCUUGCUCUGGUGAAUUAGUGGCGAACGGGUGAGUAACACGUGAGUAACCUGCCCUUGACUCUGGGAUAACUGCUAGAAAUGGUAGCUAAUACCGGAUACGACCCUCGGAGGCAUCUUCAGGGGGUGGAAAGAAUUUCGGUCAAGGAUGGACUCGCGGCCUAUCAGCUAGUUGGUGAGGUAAUGGCUCACCAAGGCGACGACGGGUAGCCGGCCUGAGAGGGUAAGCGGCCACACUGGGACUGGGACACGGCCCAGACUCCGACGUGAGGCAGCAGUUGGGAAUAUUGCACAAUGGGCGCAAGCCUGAUGCAGCAACGCCGCGUGAGGGAUGACGGCCUUCGGGUUGUAAACCUCUUUUAGUAGGGAAGAAGCGAAAGUGGCGGUACCUGCAGAAAAAGCACCGGCUAACUACGUGCCAGCCGCCGCCGUAA
This 484-nucleotide ribosomal RNA is filed under the name uncultured bacterium. RNAcentral describes it as "partial 16S ribosomal RNA". It matches the Rfam family "Bacterial small subunit ribosomal RNA", at positions 28 to 523 of the family's 1533-position model. The record is from RNAcentral.